CGCCGUUAGAAGUGGCAUCGGCCUCGAACAACGGCCGUCGUCAUGGAGGAGGGAUGACUCUCUGCUAUAGCAACCGGACGGGAUACAAAGCGCCAUUCUCCAUUGCAAGAGACUCGGAGUCAGAGCCAUCGUCUAUGUUGGCAAGAUCGGAGAGCGAGCCAUUGUCGGAGAAAUCCAUGGAGCUGCUAUGAAAAUUUUCUUGAAGGAAAAAGGGACAGGAAACUGAUGGACAUCAAAUCACCAAGGAAGACUAGCCCAACAAUGAUGCUUUCGAGGUUGGCAAGGAGAUGGUGGCUACCAAUGAAGAAGGCAGACAAAGAAGAUGAGGAUGAAGGGUUCUUUGAGGUGGUCGUUCUACAAGGAUUGCUUACUGUUGCAGUCAGGAAAAAGGCUUGGGGCUUGCCGGAAAUGGAGGAUCGUCGGAGGUGGAUAAAGUGCUACAGUGACUGGAGGUAGAACGGCGGUGCCAGCCCCUCCAUUAUCCUCCUCCCCCUUUUCCUUUUUGGCUUCAUUUUCUUUUUUGUUUUUAAAAUAUUUUAUAAUGAUUUUUUAAUAACAAAUUUCCGUAGGGCCUACUUAGUCAAAAAUCGUGCGCCAUGUGUCACCGUCAAAUAUCACGUUAGCACAACCGGUUAGAAUUGACGGAGAAUAUAACGGAAUGUUAAAAUAUAUAACGGAUUGGUAGUUUGUGCAUUUUUCUACAAAAAAAAUAGUUCAUAAUAAAACGUAGAAAAUGUGCAUAGUUUAUAAUUGUUUAGGUAGUUUCACCUUAAUAAAUAUUAUGGUAAAUUACACUGAUAGUCCAAAAAGUUCUAAUAAUAUAUCAGAUUGGUCCAAAAAGUUUUUUUUGCUACUUGAUAGUACAAAAUGUUUCAAAGUUGUAACAUGAUAAUAUAAACCGUUAUUUCACCAUUGACGCCGUCAAGCGAAACUAACGUGACCGACAUGUGGCUUUGAUAUGUUUUUAGGAGUUGAUGGAACGUUACAUAAUGGUUCAAACUCUUUUGAAGUUGUUAUUUAAUGGUCCAAAAUAUUUUACAGAUAUAACAUAAUGAUACAAAAUAUUUCUUUAAUUAAUGUAAAGAUCCACUCAUGUCAAUGGCGAGAUGACGGUUUGUACUAUCAUGUUAUACUUUUGAAACAUUUUGUAUCAUCAAUUAGCAAAAAAUCCUUUUUGAGCCAACUUGAUAUAUUAUUAAAACUUUUUGGACCACCGGUGUAAUUUACCUUAAAUACUAAGUAGUGUGCUUUUCCUUUUCUUAAUCUUGAUAUAUUAUUACUAUCAAAAAAAAAUCUUGAUAUAUUAUUUAUUACAUAUUAUAGUUUUAAAAAUUAAAUAAAUGGGAAGAAGGCAUGCAAAUGUUAGCUUAUGCUUAGCCUAAAGUACACUGUCAACACCUUUGUCCAGCAAAGAGGGUGCCGUCCCUAAUAAACUCCGGCCUUGUAUUAAUUAAAACAGAACUAUACUCUCUGUUAGCUAAUAAAACUAAGUUGAAAUACUGUAUGUACGUACGUAGUUCUUGAAUACCGAUGGAUACAUUAGGGCCGAUUCGAUUCGAUAAUCUCCAGAAAACUAGUUAUAGUAUAUGGAUGGUCAUUUGAAUACCGAUGGAUUCAUAAUGGCCUAUUCGAAUGAAAUUGUUUUCAAAAACAUCCUAUGCACUUCAUCAACAUAUCCUCAAGGCCUUCAAAGACCACUCCGCACCUCGGGCUUCUCCAAGCACAGAUGAUACGCUCCGAUGACAACAUCCCCCAAAGCCUCUCGAACUGUGAUGGGCGAAACUGAACACCGAUGCCGUGCCGCAUGGAGUAAUUUGACAUCCUGCAUCUCAAGAGUUGCCAUUAGCCUUGAUAAUGAGUUAUCUUCUCUUGGUUCUCCAAAGCUGCCACAACCUCUCCUCUCCAAGCUGAAGGUCAAGCUGUCUUGCUGAAGGUCAAGUUGUCCUUCUCGCCCUCUCAAUAGCUCUUGACAGAGGCUGGUACAAGGCGUGGAUUGAAAGUGAUGCCUUUAUCCUUGUCGAAGCAAUCUUCAAACCCCAGCAAGCACCUUGGGAAAUUCGAACAAUUAUUAGUGAUAUUUUAACUUAUUUUCGUUUAUUUUCGAAUUGGCGAUGCAUUUGGAUUUCUCGUAAGGGUAACCUCUUAGCACACAACUUGGCCCACGUUGGCUCCAUGUCGAAUUUCGAUUCCUUUUGUACCUUUGAUGGUUACCCGAACU
Molecule: non-coding RNA, 2218 nt
Organism: Punica granatum (pomegranate)
Lineage: Eukaryota; Viridiplantae; Streptophyta; Magnoliopsida; Myrtales; Lythraceae
Source: RefSeq, a predicted model, not a curated record